GUCUAUGGCCAUGCCACCCUGAACAAGCCCAAUCCCGUCUAAUCUCGGAAGCUAAGCAAGGUAGGGCCUAGUUAGUACUUGGAUGGGAGACCACCUAGGAAGACCAGGUGCUGUAGGUG
This 119-nucleotide ribosomal RNA is filed under the name Pteropus alecto (black flying fox). The record is from RNAcentral. Lineage: Eukaryota; Metazoa; Chordata; Mammalia; Chiroptera; Pteropodidae.